This 402-nucleotide ribosomal RNA is filed under the name uncultured prokaryote. RNAcentral's name for it is "bacterial SSU rRNA". It matches the Rfam family "Bacterial small subunit ribosomal RNA", at positions 355 to 774 of the family's 1533-position model. The record is from RNAcentral.
UUAAGAAUCUUGCACAAUGGGCGCAACCCUGAUCCAGCCAUGCCGCGUGAAUGAUGAAGGCCUUCGGGUUGUAAAGUUCUUUUGGUAGGGACGAUGAUGACGGUACCUACAGAAUAAGCUCCGGCUAACUUCGUGCCAGCAGCCGCGGUAAUACGAAGGGAGCUAGCGUUGUUCGGAAUUACUGGGCGUAAAGGGCGCGUAGGCGGUUUAGAUAGUCAGAUGUGAAAGCCCAAGGCUCAACCUUGGAAUUGCGUUUGAUACUGCUAUUCUUGAAUUCGGGAGAGGUGAGUGGAAUUCCCAGUGUAGAGGUGAAAUUCGUAGAGAUUGGGAAGAACACCGGUGGCGAAGGCGGCUCACUGGACCGAUAUUGACGCUGAGGCGCGAAAGUGUGGGGAGCAAACA